This 227-nucleotide ribosomal RNA is filed under the name uncultured bacterium. RNAcentral describes it as "partial 16S ribosomal RNA". It matches the Rfam family "Bacterial small subunit ribosomal RNA", at positions 30 to 252 of the family's 1533-position model. The record is from RNAcentral.
AUUGAACGCUGGCGGCAGGCCUAACACAUGCAAGUCGAGCGGUAACACAGAGAGCUUGCUCUCGGGUGACGAGUGGCGGACGGGUGAGUAAUGUCUGGGAAACUGCCUGAUGGGAGGGGGAUAACUACUGGAAACGGUAGCUAAUACCGCAUAAUGUCGCAAGACCAAAGAGGGGGACCUUAGGGCCUCUUGCCAUCGGAUGUGCCCAGAUGGGAUUAGCUAGUAGG